CCUAAGUCUCUGACAUCUUGUACAAGACCGAAGACAGACAAUGGAAAAUAAAUGAUGAUCAUCAAGUGUCUGCCAAAUGCUUUCUCUUAUCCAUCCCUGGAGCACCAUGUUCCUCUGCUUUGUAGCACUAUUCAGAGGACUUGUGUUACUUCCAUUUGUGAGAUGAUUUUCUUAUUGUAAAUCUUCUUCCACUACUUUGUGAACUCAACAAGCAGAGGGUGUGUGACUGUCAUAUUUGCCAUUCUACUCUCCAGCACUGCACAGUACCUCUGGCACAUAGGAGAUCUUCAAUAAAAUUUGCUAAAUUUAUGAACAAAUGAGUAGCUUAAAUGAAGGGAACCAUGCCUAAAUUAAAGAAAGACUCCAUGCAGUAUAACCAAGUCAAACAAAUUCUAAUUCUGAAAAGAAGAUAGAGUACAUGUGCUCUGGAACAUCUCUUUGGGUGGGGUGUUGGGCUGUUUCUUCCAAUUAUAUCACUCACAGCACAGGACUGAAAUGAUUAGGACUUUCUGACAAGUUCAGCUUUGUGUUACUUUGCCUUGGGCUCAGGAGACAGAAGUAAUCCUAGGAAAUUAACAAUAAUUUAUCCAGUUAUAGGCACUGGAGAUUAAAAAUAAAAAUAUAAAGGAAAGUAAGCAACAACCUCUGUCAUCGCAACAUGCAGACAGGCAGCAUCAUUUUUCCAAGAAGAGAUGCCAUCCUUUAUAUCCAAGACCCAAGUUAUGUGCAUGACUUCCUUUAUCCUAUAUAUUAUCUUUGCCAAAUUCUUCCCUAAGACCUGAAGAAAGGGUUUAAGAAAAUUUAUUAUCAUUAUUAUUUUUUAGAGACAGGGUAUCUCUCUGUCACCCAGGCUGGAGUGUAGUGGCCCUCGCUGCAGCCUCAAACUACUGGGCUCAAGCAAUCCUCCCACCUUGGCUCCAGAAGUACUGAAAUUACUGGCCUGAGCCACCACGCCUACCCACGGGUAUAAGAAAGUUAAAUUUGACUGAUAACACUGACUGUGUAAUCUUUAACAAGUUAAUUUAUCUGUGCCUCAGUUUCUCCACCUUUACACUGGUGAUAAUAACAGCAACCACUUCCCAGAGUUAUUGGGAGGAUAACAUGGAUUAAUAUUGGAAAGUCCUGGAAGUUGUACCUGGGACAUAGUUAGCACUAGUUAAGUGUUGGCUAUUAUUAAUAAUUACUAUAACACAAAAUUAGUGCCUUAAAAUUUUAAGAGAGGUAAAAUAGCACACCACUUUAGUAGAAUUUCUUUUUUCCUUAGGCACUCAGAGGGAUAGAAAAAAGAUAAAGAUGACACUCAUAACAUGAAUUCAGAAGAACAUUUGAUACAUUCUUCCAUAUUAUUCUUACCUUCAGUGGCUAGACAGCAUUUAGAGAUAGUGCUACUAAAUAAUAAUUAUCUUAAAUAGAUGAAAUGUCAGUUAAGCUAGACACAGUAUCAUCCUCUUCAUUAUACUUAUAGAGCAAUUCACAAUAACAAGCUUUCACAUAUAUCUCAUUUAACAUUAUAAUAACCCUGAGAAUUAUUACCACCUCUAUCUUUAGAGGAAACAAAUGAGGCUAAUAUAGAUUGGAUAACUCACACAAAGUCACACAUCUAAUUGAUAGUAGCACCAAAAUUCAAACCAGCCCUUCUGAAUGUAAGCCUAGUAUCCUUCUAAGGAAAAAAAAAAAAAAGUUGCCACAAUUAAACAAAAAAUACAGAACAAAACGGUGAGCUCAAGUGCUUCUUUAAGAGACGUUUUUUAAACGGACAAUUUCUUAAAAAGAGUUUCAUAGCCCUAAAAUAAACCUAUUUUAAGAAACUCAUUUGGAAACAUUUUAAUAAAGAGUAUUAGGAAGUAUGAAAUAUAGUGCUUUGAAUUUUCCAAUUUGGAGUAGUCAAAUAUCACUGCUAAUUGAUUCCUAUACUAUGAGCUAGCCUAGUAAGUAAUUACUUUGAUCUCUCUUAAGAGUCAGGGCUACCUAAUUAGAUGGUUACUGAAGUAGCCACUGAAUGAGGUAUUGGUAAAAUCAGGAUUAACACAUAUUCUAAAAGCUACUCAACUCAAAGCAUCUGGCUCAAUAUGUUCUCAAAGACAGAUAUGGUAACAUAUUCUUACAUAUAAUUAUAAAAGCAAGGUUUUCAAGUAAUCCAAACAAACAACAAACCAAAUUCCACCCUCAGUUCUUGCCUAUGCUUACAAAUAUUUAGCAGUAAUUUACUUGUGCGUAUUUUUACAAGUUUAUUUUUCAAUGAAACUCUAAUCUAUAAUGAAAAGUCUUCCAGUCACGCCAAAGCCUAAUUCAAUUGAUAAAUAACAUUUUGAUAUAGAUUUAAUAAUCAUUAACUUGUGAGGUUUUUUUUUUAAUCUCAGAUUUGGAUUCUUACUCUACCUUUGCCACAAGUACUUCUUUAUAAAAUCCAAAUGCCUAUUCUUUAAAAUCUCUUUAAAACAAGAAUUUUAGAUCCCAAGAGAUAAAUCAAAAUGGAGAUCAAUUUUAGCUUCUUUCAACACAGAUUUGUGGAUGAUAUUGAAUAAUUGCUUCUUCUAGACUGUGUUAAAUGGUGAACAAAAUGAAUUCAUUUAAGUAAAUCUUGAUCUCUAUUUGAACAUAUAUAAAAUUGCA
RNAcentral lists this long non-coding RNA (2613 nucleotides) under Homo sapiens (human). RNAcentral describes it as "non-protein coding lnc-NMBR-5:1". Lineage: Eukaryota; Metazoa; Chordata; Mammalia; Primates; Hominidae. The record is from RNAcentral.